Molecule: long non-coding RNA, 1120 nt
Organism: Siniperca chuatsi (mandarin fish)
Lineage: Eukaryota; Metazoa; Chordata; Actinopteri; Centrarchiformes; Sinipercidae
Exons: 3
Source: RefSeq, a predicted model, not a curated record
GCAAGGCAUACUAUACAUUCGUGCAUAUGUGAAUUUGAAAAUCUGGUACAAAUUCAUUGUCUUCCUCAGACAUCAGUUAAUAGUCCGAAUGUACAUUUAAUUGUAUUUUUUUUACAUUGAGGUUAUUUAACUUUAAUCUACCAUACUGAGUCCCUGACAAUAGUUUUAACAGAGCAAAAUAUUCUCUCUGCUAUCCCUCUUUCACAGUUCCCCCAUCUCUGGAGUGGUUGAUAAAAGCCUGGGUCUAAACUCUGGCUCUGACAAAAAUAGAAAAAGCUGAGAGCGACAGGACAGUCCAAUCUGACACGCUGUCAACAUGAUUCCACUACUCCCACCUCAGAGCCAACCGUCUGCGGAGAUGGUCAGACAAAACAGCAGCCAUGGAUGACCAGAACCCACUGCAGCUACAGAGAGCAGAUAGGGUUUAAACCAACACCCCCUUUUCAUCUCCUAUGGUGAUCGGUGUGGAUGGAUCCAAGUGAGGAUUAACAACCUACAAGACCAUGCUGAGAGACUUCCUGUCAAACACUGGUAACCCACAGCGACACAGAAAGGACAACAGAGCCAAUGUGUAUAACUGUGAAGGAUGCAGACUGAGGCUUAGCAGGAGGAAGCACACACUCCUACUCACCUGCCAAAUGUCUAAUGUCAAUUUAGCCACCCACCAAUCAAAACCAUAGGAUACAGCACGAGAGGCUGUGUGUCUAUGUGUGUGUCUGAACAGAUUAUUUCAAACUGGACAAUGAACCACUAAAGUCUAUAAAAUGUCCAAAUAUGAUACUAUACAUUGUGACUGACAAGGCACAGUAGGUGUACUAAGUCCUGGUGUUAAAAAGAAAAACAAAAGAAACAUUUAAGGUGAAGAUUCCCUGAGCUUCAGCAGACUACAGUGGCAAAUUUAUUGUAAGGCUCGUGAAAACAUAUUAAUGUAGGCUUUAGAUAGUUGAAAAAUGAUACUAUUCUGUAAGACUGCAUUAUUAACUGCAUAUAACACCACAUCCUGUGGAGCAGUCAUUUCUACAAUGUCACAUUCUUUAUGCCUAUUUAUUUAUUUUUCCAGCUUUUUUUUGCUUCAUUACUUCUCCCAAUCCUUUCACCCAUCUCAUGCCUGACAUGCUGA